CCUACGGGAGGCAGCAGUGAGGAAUAUUGGUCAAUGGACGAGAGUCUGAACCAGCCAAGUAGCGUGAAGGAUGACUGCCCUAUGGGUUGUAAACUUCUUUUAUAUGGGAAUAAAACGUUCCACGUGUGGGAUUUUGUAUGUACCAUAUGAAUAAGGAUCGGCUAACUCCGUGCCAGCAGCCGCGGUAAUACGGAGGAUCCGAGCGUUAUCCGGAUUUAUUGGGUUUAAAGGGAGCGUAGGUGGUUUGUUGAGUCAGUUGUGAAAGUUUGCGGCUCAACCGUAAAAUUGCAGUUGAAACUGGCAGGCUUGAGUACAGUAGAGGUGGGCAGAAUUCGUGGUGUAGCGGUGAAAUGCUUAGAGAUCACGAAGAACUCCGAUUGCGAAGGCAGUUCACUGGACAACGACUGACACUGAGGCGCGAAAGUGUGGGUAUCAAACAGGAUUAGAUACCCUUGUAGUC
RNAcentral lists this ribosomal RNA (460 nucleotides) under uncultured bacterium. RNAcentral describes it as "partial 16S ribosomal RNA". It matches the Rfam family "Bacterial small subunit ribosomal RNA", at positions 338 to 795 of the family's 1533-position model. The record is from RNAcentral.